This 283-nucleotide long non-coding RNA is filed under the name Sus scrofa (pig). Its description in RNAcentral is "lncRNA (ENSSSCG00030030971.1)". The record is from RNAcentral. Lineage: Eukaryota; Metazoa; Chordata; Mammalia; Artiodactyla; Suidae.
AUGAAAAGAUCACAUUGUACCUCCGAGCAGAGGGAAUGGAGAAGGCAACCUUGGAAUGAGGGCAGCCAAUUAGGAAUAGUGAUGAUGGUUACAUUAACCCAGGGGUGUGAAGAAAUGCCCUUUAACUCUUGAGAUAAUUGAUGUCGACUGGGCCUUCAAGGUGCUUUCUGGUUUUUGAAAAUAUCACAUUGGAAGAAAAGUGAGACUCCAACAUCUGGGACAUGAUAUCCUGAGUAAAACAGGCCUGCCUUUUUAUUUUUAUUUUAUUUUAUUUUAUCUUAUC